AUGAACGCUGGCGGCGUGCCUAAUACAUGCAAGUCGAACGAAUCUCUUCGGAGAUGAGUGGCGAACGGGUGAGUAAUACAUAGGUAACCUGCCCCUGUGCGGGGGAUAACAGGAGGAAACUCCUGCUAAUACCGCAUAGCCAUGAGCACCGCAUGGAGCUCAUGCCAAAUAUCCUUUAUGGGAUAGCGCAGGGAUGGACCUAUGGCGCAUUAGCUGGUUGGCGGGGCAACGGCCCACCAAGGCAACGAUGCGUAGCCGGCCUGAGAGGGCGGACGGCCACAUUGGGACUGAGACACGGCCCAGACUCCUACGGGAGGCAGCAGUAGGGAAUUUUCGGCAAUGGGGGAAACCCUGACCGAGCAACGCCGCGUGAGCGAAGAAGGCCUUCGGGUCGUAAAGCUCUGUUGUAAAGGAAGAACGGCGCAUACAGGAAAUGGUAUGCGAGUGACGGUACUUUACCAGAAGCCACGGCUAACUACGUGCCAGCAGCCGCGGUAAUACGUAGGUGGCGAGCGUUAUCCGGAAUCAUUGGGCGUAAAGAGGGAGCAGGCGGCCGCAAGGGUCUGUGGUGAAGAAAGACCGAAGCUAAACUUCGGUAAGCCAUGGAAACCGGGCGGCUAGAGUGCGGAAGAGGAUCGUGGAAUUCCAUGUGUAGCGGUGAAAUGCGUAGAUAUAUGGAGGAACACCAGUGGCGAAGGCGACGGUCUGGGCCGCAACUGACGCUCAUUCCCGAAAGCGUGGGGAAGCAAAUAGGAUUAGAUACCCUAGUAGUCCACGCCGUAAACGAUGGUCACUAAGUGUCGGGGGUCAAACCCCGGUGCUGCAGUCAACGCAAUAAGUGACCCGCCUGAGUAGUACGUUCGCAAGAAUGAAACUCAAAGGAAUUGACGGAA
RNAcentral lists this ribosomal RNA (893 nucleotides) under uncultured bacterium. Its description in RNAcentral is "bacterial SSU rRNA". It matches the Rfam family "Bacterial small subunit ribosomal RNA", at positions 29 to 918 of the family's 1533-position model. The record is from RNAcentral.